UUCUCACAAACUGCCGAAGACAGUAGGUGCCGCGAUGGCAUAAGGUGUGACCGCCUACCGAGGAAUAGAUUAAUCAAGCUAAUAUGCUAGACUAAUAAUCUGCCUCCUGUUUUCGCAGGAGGCAGUUUUUUAUU
RNAcentral lists this small RNA (134 nucleotides) under Lachnoclostridium phytofermentans. Its description in RNAcentral is "Ribosomal protein L10 leader". It matches the Rfam family "Ribosomal protein L10 leader", at positions 13 to 132 of the family's 138-position model. Rfam says of the family: This family is a putative r-protein leader autoregulatory structure found in B. subtilis and other low-GC Gram-positive bacteria. It is located in the 5' untranslated regions of mRNAs encoding ribosomal proteins L10 and L12 (rplJ-rplL). A Rho-independent transcription terminator structure that is probably involved in regulation is included at the 3' end. Lineage: Bacteria; Bacillati; Bacillota; Clostridia; Lachnospirales; Lachnospiraceae. The record is from RNAcentral.